This 501-nucleotide ribosomal RNA is filed under the name uncultured bacterium. Its description in RNAcentral is "partial 16S ribosomal RNA". It matches the Rfam family "Bacterial small subunit ribosomal RNA", at positions 30 to 523 of the family's 1533-position model. The record is from RNAcentral.
AUUGAACGCUGGCGGCAGGCUUAACACAUGCAAGUCGAGCGGAGAGAGGUAGCUUGCUACUGAUCUUAGCGGCGGACGGGUGAGUAAUGCUUAGGAAUCUGCCUAUUAGUGGGGGACAACAUUUCGAAAGGAAUGCUAAUACCGCAUACGUCCUACGGGAGAAAGCAGGGGAUCUUCGGACCUUGCGCUAAUAGAUGAGCCUAAGUCGGAUUAGCUAGUUGGUGGGGUAAAGGCCUACCAAGGCGACGAUCUGUAGCGGGUCUGAGAGGAUGAUCCGCCACACUGGGACUGAGACACGGCCCAGACUCCUACGGGAGGCAGCAGUGGGGAAUAUUGGACAAUGGGCGGAAGCCUGAUCCAGCUAUGCCGCGUGUGUGAAGAAGGCCUUAUGGUUGUAAAGCACUUUAAGCGAGGAGGAGGCUACUUUAGUUAAUACCUAGAGAUAGUGGACGUUACUCGCAGAAUAAGCACCGGCUAACUCUGUGCCAGCAGCCGCCGCGG